UCCUUAAUUAUAAUAAAUAUAAACAAAUGUGCAUCGUCAAUUCAGUAUUAAUGGUAGGGCAUUUGUUCCCUUGAAUAGCUUGAGAAUUUUUUUUGUUUUACUUCAUUUAAUGAUUUUAUUUGGAUUACGCUAAUGUUGCGAAUGCAAUUGCUUUUUUCCCUGAAGAGGCCUUUAGGGAAGAGUACGGUCGGGAAAUGAACGAAAUUUAAUGUGACAGGUUAUUAGAUUAGGAGAAAUGUAUGUGAAACUAGGGCAUAUCUGUUAUUUUUGUUAAAUCGAAAAAUGGGAUUAAACUAACACUAACACUACCACUUAAGUCAUUUUUAUUUUAUUUAUUAUUAUUUUUUUAUAAUUUGAUAAAAGCUUUUUUCUGAAUUGAUAUUAUUAUUAUUAUUCCAACUUUAGGCACUGACCUUCUCAUUCAGUACCUAUAUGGUUCCUACAUUACUUUGCGUUUAGAUAGUAAAUACUGCUGUUAUUCAAUUAUUACAACUAUAUCUGUUUUCCAACGAAUUUCCUUAUUUCUUACAACUCUUCUUCCACUAUUUUAUGUAUAGAUUUAUUUUAUCUUUUAUUUUUUACUUUUUAAAUUAGUAUAAGCAUUGAUUGUAUUCUUAAUGUUACCAUCAUUUCAACCAACUGAUUAUAUAUAAACUCUUACUGCUGUUACAAACGUCCCUAUUUCUAUUUUAAUUUUUUUAUAUUUUCUGUUUUUACCUAACAUUCCAUAAAGUUAUUAUCCCAAAAACCCAUAAAUGAUCCAAUAUUUAACGUUUCAAUGGAAAACCCCAUCCUGACCCCAUUAAGCAAAAUGAACGCCAACCUGAUGGAAGGCGUGCAACAGAGACAAAAACUCUGUUUGUCCACACUUAGAAGCUCGGGCAUCUUGAAGAUUGCAUUGUUGUAAAACUCCGUCAAUCAAAGAUUUUACAUCAAAGUCUUCCUCAACCAUGCGUUCGUUUUGCGAACACCACGUGCGAUAGUUAUUUUCGACCAUUUCGAUAAUUGAAGAGGUUUUAAAGCAAGCACCAAUGGUUUUAUUUUUCCUUAAAAACACAAUCCGUAACAGACCAUCCCAUUCCUCAAAAGCCAAUGGAGGGGGUGGAUUUUUUGGUUCUAUCCGAACAACACUUGAUUCAACCAAAGGUGGUGGUCGAAAGUUAUUCUUUCCAACUUUCAUGAUAUGCUUGACGUGAGCCCACAUUUGCACAUUGGCGGAUAAUCGACAGUACAAAGGGUCACCAGGCCUUGCAACCAAGCGUAAAGCAAAUUCUCUCUGGAACAUAAGAAUUGCCGCACGAGGAGCCGGUCUCUGCUGUAAUAAUUUAAAUACCAAUGGUGAGGAAAUUUGAUAAGGCGUAUUAGACACGCAUACAUCAAAGUAAGGAAGGUCGGUCUUAAUCACAUCACCAAGUACCACCUGCAAUUUCUUUUCCUUUGGUGUCCCUUGCACACGCUUGGUGAUUUCUGCAGCCAUUCGGGGGUCCAUUUCAACAGCAAUUACUUUACGCGCCUUCUCAAGCAUCCUUACUGUCAAGUUACCAGUACCUGGUCCUACUUCCAAAACAGUAUCGGAUUGCUUCAAAUCAGCCUAUUUGUCUUAUGUUAGAAAAUAAACCUCGUUGAAAAAUUAUCGCAAUUUUACCUACCUUAUCCACAAUUCCCUGAGCAACCAGUGGGUUUUUAAGGAUAUGCUGGCCAAAAUCUUUGUUGAAUUUGAAAACUGUAUUCCUCACUUCUGCAUCAGAAGCUGCAUUGUUAUUCCUAACCCGAAUCUUUCCCAUGGCUGUUCUCGUAACCAAAAGGAUUUGGUACAGGGCAAAAACUAGUUUCGCAGGUUUGCAAACUGCUGCCGUUUAGUGAAGCAAAUUCUUCUCAGUCGUAAUCAAGUUAGCGAAGUAAGUUAAUUUUUAAAUGUUAACUACACAGUUUGGUAUCGUUUUCAACGAUAUGUAGAAGUGCCGUAAGUUUUUCUUGU
Schizosaccharomyces pombe (fission yeast) is the source of this 1978-nucleotide non-coding RNA. Lineage: Eukaryota; Fungi; Ascomycota; Schizosaccharomycetes; Schizosaccharomycetales; Schizosaccharomycetaceae. The record is from the annotation of a GenBank genome assembly.